AUAAGGGAGAGUUUUAUCCAGGCUCAGGCUGAAUGCUGGCGGCGUGCCUAAUACAUGCAAGUCGAGCGGUAACAGGGGG
RNAcentral lists this ribosomal RNA (79 nucleotides) under Candidatus Saccharimonadota bacterium. RNAcentral describes it as "partial 16S ribosomal RNA". It matches the Rfam family "Bacterial small subunit ribosomal RNA", at positions 1 to 79 of the family's 1533-position model. Lineage: Bacteria; Candidatus Saccharimonadota. The record is from RNAcentral.